GACAAAUAUUCAACUGUCCAAAUAAAUUCAUUAUCUAUAUUGAGCUGCUGUUCCAGACAGAAGGUACUAUUUCAAAACAUCGCGCUGAGAACGUGACGAAUUUAGUUUCCAGAUCUUUUGGUCAAAUCGAAAGCCUCUGAAGAGAGAAGAUAAGCAGAUGCUCUGCUGGGAGAUCUCUGCGCGAGUUAAAUAAAAAGCAGUUGAUCUGAGACAGUUGCCGCAUGGAGAGCAAUUAUGCUGUUAGUGCGGCAGCUGCUUUUCAUUCUGUUCUGCCUUGGGUGCCCCUCGUCGAAUGCGUUGGUGUCUCUGCCCGCCUUCAGAAGAACAAAGGAAGCAAAGAAGGACAUAGUACUGUUUUUACCUCAGCGUCUGACAGAUUUACCAGGCGAAGAUGCAAAUGGAAAGCUGGUCAAAAUGGGAUCCAUAACAUACAGCGCGUCUUCAAUGAGGUAUUCGGCGAAUGCAACGCUCUCGGAGCUCGUCCUAAAACCAUUUUGGCGUCAAUUAACGUUCUUUGUUGUGGCGUUACAUUGGACACUUUUUCGGGCCGGACUCACAGAGCCACGGUCAUAGGCAAAUCUAUAGCCCUACGUAGAUUGGAUGUUGCGCUUCACUGCACGUCAGUGCAAAAUCAUUCGGCCACGCCAAAUACUGAUGCAUCUACACUUGGUAAUCGACUUUACUUAGCGAUCAGCAGCAGAACAUUCUAGCCAUAGAGAGAACAGCGAAACAAAUUACAUAAGAAUCUUGUGAUAAGAUAAUUUGACAAAUGCAUAUUACAUCUUCUCAAGGCGAGAGAGCUAGAGUCUCAUUACAAUUAAUCAUUUAUAAAUUUGC
RNAcentral lists this small RNA (837 nucleotides) under Drosophila mojavensis. Its description in RNAcentral is "GI26135". The record is from RNAcentral. Lineage: Eukaryota; Metazoa; Arthropoda; Insecta; Diptera; Drosophilidae.